Molecule: non-coding RNA, 168 nt
Filed under: uncultured Ferdinandcohnia sp.
Lineage: Bacteria; Bacillati; Bacillota; Bacilli; Caryophanales; Bacillaceae
Source: RNAcentral
CGUGGCGACGCGGAAUCUGAAGGAAGCCCUAGGCAAAUCCUCGGUCUGAGGUACACGAAUCACAUUUGAGGUUUACGUUUCAGGACGAGUUUGCAAAACAAAACAAAGUCCAAAAUAUCCCCAGAUGAACCGUAAAUAAAUGUGGCAGAUAUAUGAGGAGAAAGUGAA